Clupea harengus (Atlantic herring) is the source of this 940-nucleotide long non-coding RNA. NCBI's taxonomy places the organism in Eukaryota, Metazoa, Chordata, Actinopteri, Clupeiformes, Clupeidae. The record is from Ensembl.
ACGAAACUUCCUGGUGGCAAACAGUUCGUCAUUUAUCAGACACCAACCAGGGAAGCUUCAGGAGCGGAGCAGAGGGUCCAUGUUGUGGAUCUCACUAAGGGCUCUGUCCCUUGCCUGAGGACCUGAGCUGAAACCCCGGCCAGGUCCCAGCACACAACAUGGGGAAUACAGUUAGCUGCUGUUGUCCUGCAAAUCCUUGCGACCAUCAGGAUGAGGGGCAGCGGCUGCUAAAUGAGGGCAUCCAGAGCCCGCAGACCUCCGCUAAAGUGUCGGAGGGGUGUUCACUGAGCCCAGACUGUGCCACUGCAGAGAGCUCUGAGACACCCUCACCCACAAAUGACCAGGUGACUGACCAGUCAAAACCAGGCUUGCCAGUGGAAACCUCUCAACCUGAGGUGGUCCGUGGUCAGGCAAAUGUUCAGGAGGAGGCAGAUGCUUUGUCCAUGCAGGUGAAGCCUGAGGCAUCAGCUGUUAUCAGUAAUGUGGAUGUAAAUGCAGCUUCUGCUCUGGAUAAGUAUGAAACCCAGGAUGUUUUCCCGGAGAAGAUAGAGAGCGUGGCUGUGUCCACUGAGAAGCUGGAGUGCAAGGAGGCUUCUAACGGGAUUAAGAACCAGGCCGCUACCAUCCUGAUUGAGAACCAGGCUGUUGCUGUGGUUGAGAACCAGGCUGCUACCAUCCUGAUUGAGAACCAGGCUGCUGCUGUGAUUGAGAACCAGGCUGCUGCUGUGGUUGAGAACCAGGCUGCUACCAUCCUGAUUGAGAACCAGGCUGCUGCUGUGAUUGAGAACCAGGCUGCUGCUGUGAUUGAGAACCAGGCUGCUGCUGUGAUUGAGAACCAUGCUUCUUCCACAGAGAAGCUGGACAGCCAAGCCGCUGCUACCGCGAUCGAGAGCCAGACCACUUCCACUGUCAUCGCAUCCACCGCGAUUGAGGGCCAGGC